Puntigrus tetrazona (Sumatra barb) is the source of this 1701-nucleotide long non-coding RNA. RefSeq lists it as uncharacterized. Lineage: Eukaryota; Metazoa; Chordata; Actinopteri; Cypriniformes; Cyprinidae. The transcript is spliced from 2 exons. The record is from RefSeq and is a predicted model, not a curated record.
CCUUUCUCUAUUAAAAACGUCGGUGCCAGGCUGGCUCUGGACUCAGAAUGGUUUGCGGGUGUUUUUUGGCUCGGGGUAAGAUUUUGACAGGUUUGCACUGGUUCCCCCGAGAUGCUGACAGAGCUAGAUUGUGGCUGCAGGCGGUGGCUCGGCCAUCAGCUCCUGACACAUCGACAAUGUUUGUGUGUAACAAACUUCUUUCACAAGAGAGCUUUUGCAAACAUAAGGACGUUGGCAUUGCUCACGGGAGUAAUCUCAGACGAGAAGACGCUGAACGAAGUCCCACAUAUCUUUCCAUUCCUACAGGGCAGCCAUUUCACUUGAGCUGCUGGCUGGAAAUACUGGAGUUUUGCCCAGUGACCGCAGAUGAAGGAGGAAGUCUAAAUAUGGUCAUUGGUGAGAUGAAUAUAUCGUGACAUCACAAAACAAGCAGCAGCAACGCUUCCCGCUUCUUCACACAGUCACAUUAGAAAUGGCUGUUCGGAGCAAAUGCUAUUAUAAUUGAAGUUACAGAUAAGUUAAGACUAUAAUUGUAAAAUUGUAAUUGUUAAAUAAAGGUUAUUAGAACAUGAUACAUAUGUUAACCUAUGUAAUCGUCUUGUGUUCAGAAUCUGGAUGAGGCCUUAAUAAAGUUAUUCUUGUUUUUGAACUGUCAGCUCUCCCAUCAUAUUUAGGAAUGUGCAUAUAAUAUUUUAACCUAUAAUAGAUUGAACUUUAAUAUGAUGUUAUGCACAGUCUUUGAAACUGAAAGACCUGCCAACAGAACGAGUUGCUAGCACAAACUGAAAAUAUAAGCCACCAUAAUGCAUUUUUUUUUUCUCUUUUUUGCUUUCUUGUACUGAGAAACAACAGUUCCGUGAUUUUGAAUGUAUUUUUUAUGUUUUUAUGUUUUAUAUAAGCUGUAAGGGUAGCUUGUCUGGCAUUUUUCAUGUUUAUAUCUUAACUGUUAACAUCAAUUUUAUUACAAAUAAGCAUAUUUUUUAAUAAAAUAGAUUUAGAUUGUUAGACAUUGAUGGGGUUUUGUUUAGGGGUGGGCUUAAGUAAGAAUUGAGAGAUAUGGUCCUUCUGUUUAGAGCAGACCCAGGAAAGCUUUAAAAAAAUGUUUGAAAGUUUGUUUUUAGACCACUAUAUAAGCACUAUAUGGUGCUGCUAAAACCAUAAGCAACAUUAAAAUGCAAAGGGUUGUCUGUCUUUGCAUUAUUCCAGUGCCUCAGAUAUUUGAAAUAAUAAAAACUGUUGCAAAAAUUGUAAAAAAAAAUAUAACUGAACAUUAAAUAUUGCAGUUAAUAUCAAAUCUGGCAUUUAUAGAGUUUUAUUAAAAUGUACCUAUUCCCACAACUGGUGCAGAAAUAUUUUGAGUUGAUUUAUUGCAUUGCAGAUUCUUGAUGUGUGACAAAAUCAUGUCUUCAUAUCUGUGUGUUAGAGCAAAAAGUUUUACUGUGUAGGCUAUAAUCAUAAAAAUGCUGUACUAUAGGACUAAUUAUUAUAUACACUGUAAAUACUUUAUAUUUAUUUUUAUUUAUUCAACAUAUCCAUCCGAAUUCCUUUGCAUUAUUUCUAUAUUGCACAUCUACACAUCCAAUAUUGUGUAUUGUUUUCACUUGUUUGUCAUAAUAAAAAUCUUUCCCAUCUGUGCACAGGUAAAUUCCUCAUGUGUAGAAGCACACUUGGCAAUUAAACGCUUUCUGAUUUUGAUUGUUA